Molecule: long non-coding RNA, 964 nt
Organism: Rhagoletis pomonella (apple maggot)
Lineage: Eukaryota; Metazoa; Arthropoda; Insecta; Diptera; Tephritidae
Exons: 2
Source: RefSeq, a predicted model, not a curated record
CUCUUGACGAAAUAAAGCGAAUGCAAUAUGGCGUCGUUGUGCUGUGUCGUGGCUUUUGUAACUAAAACUCCGUUUUGACAUCACACUUAACUAUUCUCAUCAUAAUAAAACACCAUCGAAAACGAAAUAACAAAAUCAACAAAAACUUACAAAAACAAAACAAGUUAAUCAAAUUACAAAAACCAACAACAAAAUCGCGCACGAUUAAAAUAUAUCUAAAAAUACAAAAAGGACUGAGCUCAAGGAAGGCGUAAUUUAUGGUGGAGGAAUUAGAAAUUAAGGCGACUAAUUUCUUGUUCCAAACUUUUUUAAUAUUAAAAAGUUAAAAACAACAAAAUUUAAUACUUAUCCAAAGCAUUUGAAAACAAAUAACGUUCGGCAAACGCUUGCGAGACAGUGCUAACACGCGUGUGCACAUCCACGCGUGUGCCAGACUUUUAUAUUUUGUUGUUGGAAACCAACUUAGUCAACUUGAUUACAAAUUGCUGCAAAUGCAUCAGAAUUUUUUCUCAAUACUCAACAAUAUUGGAUUCCCUAUGCCUAAAAUAAACCAAAAAAAAAAAUAGAUAUAUCUUAAAAAUGUCUAAACAAAGGUAAUUCAGUAUCAGUUCCAUAAAAUAGUUGACCAACAUACUUUCAAGAAUCUCAAGGUGGAGGCGUUUGGAGUAGCCAGAAAGGUCAAACAACUUAGACGGAGAUAGUAAUUGCCUCAAAACAGACUUGCCCCUUGCUUCAGAUUGCGGUUUAAUCAAACAAAUGUGAAACAAUACUUUUCAGCUUAAUACUCUGCCACAUGGUUAACUAAUGUAGUGUAUCAUAAGUUACAAAAUAUAAAUUUAGAAAAUCAUAAAUCCAUAAACUCAUAAAAGGAGCAUUCCGAUGUUUGACGCUAUUGAAAACAAAAAGUAAACAUUACCAUCAACAGCAGAUAUAGACUAUUUACCGAUAAAGCAAUUCAAAUCUA